This 71-nucleotide transfer RNA is filed under the name Fasciola hepatica (liver fluke). RNAcentral describes it as "tRNA-Gln". Lineage: Eukaryota; Metazoa; Platyhelminthes; Trematoda; Plagiorchiida; Fasciolidae. The record is from RNAcentral.
GGCGGUGUUCAAACGGUUAUAACAGUGGGCGCUGAACCCUCCGGUCCCGGGUUCGAAUCCCCGAGCCGCCG